UACGUAGGGUGCGAGCGUUAAUCGGAAUUACUGGGCGUAAAGCGUGCGCAGGCGGUUCGUUAAGUCAGAUGUGAAAGCCCCGGGCUCAACCCGGGAACUGCGUCCGAUACUGGAAGGCUUGAAUCCGGGAGAGGGAUGUGGAAUUCCAGGUGUAGCGGUGAAAUGCGUAGAUAUCUGGAGGAACACCGGUGGCGAAGGCGACAUCCUGGACCGGUAUUGACGCUGAGGCGCGAAAGCCAGGGGAGCAAACGGG
This 253-nucleotide ribosomal RNA is filed under the name uncultured bacterium. Its description in RNAcentral is "partial 16S ribosomal RNA". It matches the Rfam family "Bacterial small subunit ribosomal RNA", at positions 524 to 776 of the family's 1533-position model. The record is from RNAcentral.